This 242-nucleotide ribosomal RNA is filed under the name Macropsalliota americana. Its description in RNAcentral is "Leucoagaricus americanus 5.8S ribosomal RNA". The stretch from base 1 to 127 matches the Rfam family "5.8S ribosomal RNA", at positions 28 to 154 of the family's 154-position model. From Rfam's summary of the family: 5.8S ribosomal RNA (5.8S rRNA) is a component of the large subunit of the eukaryotic ribosome. Lineage: Eukaryota; Fungi; Basidiomycota; Agaricomycetes; Agaricales; Agaricaceae. The record is from RNAcentral.
UCGCAUCGAUGAAGAACGCAGCGAAAUGCGAUAAGUAAUGUGAAUUGCAGAAUUCAGUGAAUCAUCGAAUCUUUGAACGCACCUUGCGCUCCUUGGUAUUCCGAGGAGCAUGCCUGUUUGAGUGUCAGUAAAUUCUCAACCCCCUUUUCAGCCUUUGUGGUUGGCGUCUGGGGGCUUGGAUAUGGAGGUUCUUGCAGGCCCUUUCUUCUAGGUCAGCUCCUCUGAAAUGCAUUAGCAGAACA